AUUUUUAUAGUUUGUCGAUCUUGGGCAAGUGGAGAGAGAGGCGUCAAGUGAUACAAAACAACCAUUUUCUGUGAGCUGAUUUGAUAAAGAGAAAUGGUAUGCUUUCUUUUCUUAAGCGGUGGGUUCUGCAAUUAUUUGAAACAAAGGGUGCCACGCUUCAAGUUCGAGAAAAUCAGAAUUUCAGAAGGACUUAAUGCUCAUGGAGCUAUUAUAAUUGUGGCUGAAAAAAUGGUGUAAUAGUGGGGCUGAAGUGGAAGAACAAGGGAUGAUCAAAUAAAGAUGAAAAAUAAAAUAAAAUUGAGAGCAUCUUCCUCUCCCCUGCCAAACUCAAGCUUUGGUAUCGAUUUGCAGCUGAAGCCUAGAAGUUGAAGUUGUUGAAAGUCCAGUCCAGCACAGGCAUACCCAGUCCAGCCCAGAACAGAGGCGUGUACCCAGACAAAAAUGGAAGCACAGCCCUCUUUUUGUCUUUUUAUAGUCAGUUUUCCCUUUUUGAGCUUUGUAAAGGGGAGUUCUGCCUGAAAGCGGUUCACUCUGUUGUCAUUUAUUCUGGCAAGAACUACCAGUUUUAUACUGUAAAAAAUUAUGAAGUCCUGACCAGUCUAA
This is a non-coding RNA of Prunus avium (sweet cherry), 603 nucleotides long. NCBI's taxonomy places the organism in Eukaryota, Viridiplantae, Streptophyta, Magnoliopsida, Rosales, Rosaceae. The record is from RefSeq and is a predicted model, not a curated record.